Corapipo altera (White-ruffed manakin) is the source of this 364-nucleotide long non-coding RNA. RefSeq lists it as uncharacterized. The transcript is spliced from 3 exons. NCBI's taxonomy places the organism in Eukaryota, Metazoa, Chordata, Aves, Passeriformes, Pipridae. The record is from RefSeq and is a predicted model, not a curated record.
UGCAGGGCAGAGCAGUUCCGGUCUGUGUCACGUCCUCUGUCUCAUCCAUGUUUUGUGUCCUUUGUCUCUUAAUUGUGUCACAUGGUGUGUGUUGUCACAGAUAAGCGGACACAGUGUACCCCAGACCGAGAUCAGUUGAAGCAGCCUGGUAAGAAGGUUGUAUUAUGUGUUGGAUGAAGGAUGUCAGUUUUAGCCAGAGGAGUCCUUUAUCUUGUGCCUUUUUGGUUUUUAUUUUCCAGAUGGGGCCCAAUCGGUCUCGAGGGGUAGUGGCUCAGCAGGGAGACGAGCGAGGCGAUACACAACCCUUUGCCCGUGUGCUGAAGGUGCCGAAGGUCCAUCCUAUAGGAGGUCAAGCUGAAGGAGC